CUUUCCCCCAAGGCCCUCACUGGAUUUUGCUGUUUGAUCACUCCUACAUGAGCUGCAACUCUACAUGAGACAGAGGGGCUAUUGGAAACUACAGUGGUGAUUCCUUGGGAAAAAAGGCACAAAGGGAAGCAGAUAUGUCAGGAUGAUCUGUGGGAACGUCUCAGUCGAGGUGGCAUCGGCUGAAAGGUCAUCGAAUAAAUGCGGCCGAGCAAGUUCGGACAGUGUCCCAGGCAUUUUCAGGGCAGCACAAUCACAGCUGGGAGCAGCGGGGCCCGCAUGCUGCACACAGCUCGAAGGACAAAAGGCUCUAGAAGAAAUUGAUAGAUUAGAAAAGGGCACGGUCCGUCAUUUGCCUUUUGUUUUCCCUAUCAGAGGCCUUCAGUGUUGCUGUGUUUCACGAGGACAACAUUAUAAAGCAUGAAAGAUUGCCUGGCUUAUGGGUAUUUAUGGCAAGUGUAAGUAUUUCGACUGUUUUUCACGGCUGAGUGAGCUGCCCUUUAAGAUGCUCGGAAAGGCAUUCCGACGCCC
Oreochromis niloticus (Nile tilapia) is the source of this 528-nucleotide long non-coding RNA. RefSeq lists it as uncharacterized. The record is from RefSeq and is a predicted model, not a curated record. The transcript has 3 exons. NCBI's taxonomy places the organism in Eukaryota, Metazoa, Chordata, Actinopteri, Cichliformes, Cichlidae.